This is a long non-coding RNA of Hippocampus comes (tiger tail seahorse), 230 nucleotides long. RefSeq lists it as uncharacterized. The transcript is spliced from 3 exons. NCBI's taxonomy places the organism in Eukaryota, Metazoa, Chordata, Actinopteri, Syngnathiformes, Syngnathidae. The record is from RefSeq and is a predicted model, not a curated record.
GUCAAGAGCAUGAUUGACUACUUCCUCACAGAGAUUAAGAAGGAUUCAGAGUAUGUGGUGGCGGUGAGGAACUGCAUCAAUGAGAACAGGACGCUUCUCAGUUUCCAUAAAGGAGACAUUAUCAGACUACAACACAUGGAUGGCUUGGAGGCGGGCAAAAGUUACGGCUGCAUUGUGAAAAAAAAGGUGAUGCUACUGGAAGAACUCAAGAGCGACACCCCUGACUUUGG